GGCGGCAUAGCUCAGUUGGUCAGAGCAUUCGGUUCAUACCCGAAGUGUCGCCGGUUCGAAUCCAGCUGCCGCUACCA
RNAcentral lists this transfer RNA (77 nucleotides) under Papillibacter cinnamivorans DSM 12816. RNAcentral describes it as "tRNA_Met_CAT". It matches the Rfam family "tRNA". From Rfam's summary of the family: Transfer RNA (tRNA) molecules are approximately 80 nucleotides in length. The record is from RNAcentral. Lineage: Bacteria; Bacillati; Bacillota; Clostridia; Eubacteriales; Oscillospiraceae.